AUAUUUACCUGGCAGGGGAGAUCCCAUGAUCACGAAGGUGGUUUCCCAGAGCAAGGCUUAUCCAUUGCACUCCGGACAUGCUGACCCCUGUGAUUUCCCCAAAUAUGGGAAACUCGACUGCAUAAUUUGUGGUCGUGGGGGACUGCUUUCAUGCUCUCCCCUG
RNAcentral lists this small nuclear RNA (163 nucleotides) under Dasypus novemcinctus (nine-banded armadillo). RNAcentral's name for it is "U1 spliceosomal RNA (ENSDNOG00000040139.1)". It matches the Rfam family "U1 spliceosomal RNA". From Rfam's summary of the family: U1 is a small nuclear RNA (snRNA) component of the spliceosome (involved in pre-mRNA splicing). Its 5' end forms complementary base pairs with the 5' splice junction, thus defining the 5' donor site of an intron. Lineage: Eukaryota; Metazoa; Chordata; Mammalia; Cingulata; Dasypodidae. The record is from RNAcentral.